Scatophagus argus is the source of this 1151-nucleotide long non-coding RNA. RefSeq lists it as uncharacterized. The record is from RefSeq and is a predicted model, not a curated record. NCBI's taxonomy places the organism in Eukaryota, Metazoa, Chordata, Actinopteri, Scatophagidae. The transcript has 3 exons.
UCUUAAGUUCUCAGGUCUCCCCCUGCUUUUUUUUUUCUUUUUAAACCUUUCACACACCGCACGGGGAUAUAAACAAUCUCGCCUGUCAACGUGUGGUUUUAAGGAGAUUUUGUAAAUACAACAUUUGCCUCAUCUGCCAAAUGGAACUUUGCUUUGCAGUUUGCUGUCUGUGAUGUCGGUAGCUUUCAGGUCUGAAAUCGGCGCUUCUCUUCAUCCGGAAACACACUUCAAUGAGGCAACACAAAUAUGGGGGAGGAGAGGGAGAAGCCAAGUAAUUGCUGUCACUUUUUGGCUGCACCUUGCCCUCAACACAAUAUUUUCUAUCAUCAUGCAGCUAUGUAACUGAGCCACGCUGACGACAGACAAAACAAAACAAAUCAACAAAGGCCAGAUAACAGGAGAGACCAUGUGGUGAGAUGACAGAUGAAGCAACUACCAGCUACCCCUGCCCGGCCCCAUGCCCCGCCCCCUUUUGCCCUGACACAGCCAAUGACCAUACAGUAUGUCAGGCCUCUCCUGACCUGCGUCAAGAGCCUCCUCCCAGUCUCCCUCUCUGUCUGUCCAUAUGUCCCGCCUCCCUUCUGCUGCAGUGCUUGUUAUGACAUUAUAUGUCAAUGGACCAGAAACCCUUUUCAGACUGUAAUCCUUUGUCACCUGCUGAAGAUCAUAAACAACAAUGUGUAACCAGAAGGGUCCCCUUUGAAUCCGGACAUUGACAUAUAAUUGCAAUUAGUAACUACUUAGUUAACAAAAGGAAUUAUUCAGCACUUUGGGAAAUAGUCUUAUUCGGCUGUCUGAGAACUGGAUGGGAAGAGCUGUGCUACUCCCAUGUCCGUAUGUUGUGAAGCUGAAGGAGCUAUUUUGGGAGCCCCUCGUUUCAGACGGAUCAUUUUCUUCAGAGACAAUGUCAAGCCACUGACAACUGAAGAACUUCCUGGUCUUGAAUGGGCAUGAAAGUCUCCUGCUGCGGUUCCCUCACAUGAGCACCAGUGAGUGACUUCAGGCCUCAAUGUGGGCAUUAAUGCUUUCAUGUGUCAUAUGCGAGAGAAGCCUCAGAAGUCCCUGACGAAGCACCCCAACCUCUCUCCCAACAUGAGAAAGAAUGAGUAGAUUGAUCACAUGAUGUCUGAACUAUCAUCAGGGGCACACCU